UUUGAGGGAAAGUUGAAAAGAACUUUGAAGAGAGAGUUCAAUAGAACGUGAAACUGUUUAGAGGGAAACAGGUGGGCCCUCGAAGUCUAGUGUCUGGGGCGUUCAGCCCCGGUGUCGUCCGCUUCCGCCGAAGCGGGUGAAGUAGCGCCCCUCACGUGGGGGCGUCGUCCUUUCGCCCAGGAGGUGGUUCGGCCCGGGUGCACUCGUCCCCUUCCAGAGGACGCCGCACCCGAUUCGUAUUUUGUGGGCCGUGAGGGCGGAUACUUUUAUGUGGACUCCGAAUGAGGAUCUCUUCCGCCCGGGUCCGCAGCGGACGGUGGCUUCCGAAUCGUCCCUCCUAUUUGGUGGUGCAGGUGGGUUCUUGAGUAGCCGUGCGCACGCUCCCUGAGCGUGGCCGGUGACUCGCCUCUCCCGCGCCGCUUUGUGAUUUAUUUGGAGGCCGACGGUGUUGCGGCGCAUUAGGUCGGUGCCCCACCCGACCCAUCUUGAAACACGGACCAAGGAGUCUAACAUGUGUGCGAGUCACUGGGUCUCGAAGAAACCCACGGGCGCAAAGAACUUUAUUAUUGUCGGGAUCCCCCGCAUAUAAAAGAGGGGCUCACCGAUGGCCUGCCACUGUCUUACGACAAGAGGCAGAGCCUGAGCACACACGUUGGAAACCGAAAGAUGGUGAACUAUGCCUAGAUAGGACGAAGACAGGGGAAACUCUGUUGGAAGUCCGAAGCGGUUCUGACGUGCAAAUCGAUCGCCUGAUCCGCGUAUAGGGGCGAAAGACUAAUUAAGCAUCUAGUAGCUGGUUCCCUCAGGAUAGCUGGCGCUCGAUCAAAAUUGAGUCACGAUCGGUAAAGCUAAUGAUUAGAGGCCUUGGGGCCGAAACGACCUCAACCUAUUCUCAUACUUUCAAUGGUAGUAGAGUCCUUUCUCGACUUGAAGGUUGGACGGUGGAUGAGAGUGCCUAGUGGGCCACUUUUGGUAACAGAACUGGCGCUGUGGGAUAAACCAAAUGCCGGGUUAAGGCACCCGAUGCAGAGACGCUCAUAAAAGGUGUUGGUUGCUCUAGACAGCAGGACGGUGGCCAUAGAAGUCGGCAUUCGCUAAGGAGUUAGUAACAACUCACCUGCUAAAGCAACUAGCCCUGAAAAUGGAUGGAGCUCCAGCGUCGAGCCCAUACCCGGCUGGUUCUCUAAGUUAUUCUAUUUAUUAGAGAACCGAGUAGGAGGGUCGCAGCGGUGGCGUGGCAGGGCGUGGUGCGAGCCUGUAUGGAGCCUCCGCCGGUGCAGAUCUUGGUGGUAGUAGCAAAUACUCAAUUGAGGACUGAAGUUGGAGAAGGGUUCCAUGUCAACAGCAUUUUUACAUGGGUGAGUCGGUUCUUAGCCAACGGAGUGAUCCGUGCUAAGCGAGACUUUACGAGUCACGCUAUGGACGAAAGGUGAUCGGGUUAAGAUUCCCGAACCCGGACGCGAAAUAAAUGAGACCUCGGUCUCUGGAGCGGUAACGCAAACGAU
Non-coding RNA from Nephila pilipes (giant wood spider), 1505 nucleotides. Lineage: Eukaryota; Metazoa; Arthropoda; Arachnida; Araneae; Nephilidae. The record is from the annotation of a GenBank genome assembly.